GUGUCAGCAGCCGCGGUAAUACGGGGGGAGCAAGCGUUGUUCGGAUUCAUUGGGCGUAAAGGGCGCGUAGGCGGCCUAGCAAGUCCGGUGUGAAAUGUACCGGCUCAACCGGGGCACUGUGCUGGAAACUGCUUGGCUUGAGUCCGAGGGAGGAAGGUGGAAUUCCUGGUGUAGCGGUGAAAUGCGUAGAUAUCAGGAGGAACACCCGUGGCGAAGGCGGCCUCUAUCUCGGUACUGACGCUGAGGCGCGAAAGCUAGGGGAGCAAACGGGAUUAGAAACCCUCGUAGUCC
This 291-nucleotide ribosomal RNA is filed under the name uncultured bacterium. RNAcentral describes it as "partial 16S ribosomal RNA". It matches the Rfam family "Bacterial small subunit ribosomal RNA", at positions 505 to 796 of the family's 1533-position model. The record is from RNAcentral.